ACGGAAGGCAGCAGUGGGGAAUAUUGCACAAUGGGCGAAAGCCUGAUGCAGCAGCGCCGCGUGAAGGAUGAAGGUCUUCGGAUCGUAAACUUCUGUCCUUGGGAAAGAAUAAAUGACGGUACCCUUGGAGGAAGCCCCGGCUAACUACGUGCCAGCAGCCGCGGUAAUACGUAGGGGGCAAGCGUUAUCCGGAAUUAUUGGGCGUAAAGAGUGCGUAGGUGGUUACCUAAGCAGGGGGUGAAAGGCACUGGCUUAACCAAUGUCAGCCCCCUGAACUGGGCUACUUGAGUGCAGGAGAGGAAAGCGGAACUCCAUGUGUAGCGGUGGAAUGCGUAGAUAUAUGGAAGAACACCAGUGGCGAAGGCGGCUUUCUGGACCGUUACUGACACUGAGGCACGAAAGUGUGGGGAGCAAACAGGAUUAGAUACCCUGGUA
RNAcentral lists this ribosomal RNA (435 nucleotides) under uncultured Anaerovorax sp. RNAcentral describes it as "bacterial SSU rRNA". It matches the Rfam family "Bacterial small subunit ribosomal RNA", at positions 341 to 792 of the family's 1533-position model. The record is from RNAcentral. Lineage: Bacteria; Bacillati; Bacillota; Clostridia; Peptostreptococcales; Anaerovoracaceae.